AUAUAAUUAAGGGGAGGAAAAGAAACCAACUCGGAUUCCCCUAGUAACGGCGAGUGAAGCGGGAAGAGCUCAUGUUGUAAAUCUCCAGCUUGCUGGCGAAUUGUAGUCUAAAGGUGCGUGCUCAGUCGUGGUCCCGGGCUAAGUCUGUUGGAAAACAGCAUCAUGGACGGUGACAAUCCGGUUCUUGCCUGGGGUCCCGCGGCGUACGAGCCGUUUCCGACGAGUCGUGUUGCUUGGGAUUGCAGCACUAAGUGGGUGGUAAAUUCCAUCUAAAGCUAAAUAUUGGUGGGAGACCGAUAGCGAACAAGUACCGUGAGGGAAAGAUGAAAAGACUUUUGAAAAGAGAGUAAAAUAGUACCUGAAACUGCUGAAAGGGAAGCGAUUGAAGUCAGUGUUGCUCCUGGUCUUUUUGCCGUCGCCCCCGUGGGGGUUGCGGCGUGGGGCCUGGAGCGUUUCAACAUGCGUUCUGUUCCGCGGGAAAUGUUCAGUGUGCUGGAACCUUCGGGGAAACGCACUGUUCUUGUCGUGGUUAGGACGGAGGACCUUUGCUCCUUUGACUGCGCGUUCCUCUCUCGGGUAUGCUGGUGUCUACUGCUUGCAGUUUUCAUUUUCAUGCUUGCGACUGUGCGUGUUAUUCAUGAGCGAACAUGAUGUUGAAGAAAUGGCUUUAAUUACCCC
Molecule: ribosomal RNA, 678 nt
Filed under: Heterosigma akashiwo
Lineage: Eukaryota; Raphidophyceae; Chattonellales; Chattonellaceae
Description: eukaryotic LSU rRNA
Rfam family: Eukaryotic large subunit ribosomal RNA
Source: RNAcentral